Molecule: ribosomal RNA, 253 nt
Filed under: uncultured Blautia sp.
Lineage: Bacteria; Bacillati; Bacillota; Clostridia; Lachnospirales; Lachnospiraceae
Description: partial 16S ribosomal RNA
Rfam family: Bacterial small subunit ribosomal RNA
Source: RNAcentral
UACGUAGGGGGCGAGCGUUAUCCGGAUUCACUGGGUGUAAAGGGAGCGUAGACGGCCAUGCAAGCCAGGGGUGAAAGCCCGGGGCCCAACCCCGGGACUGCAUUUGGAACUGUUAAGCUGGAGUGUCGGAGAGGCAGGCGGAAUUCCUAGUGUAGCGGUGAAAUGCGUAGAUAUUAGGAGGAACACCAGUGGCGAAGGCGGCCUGCUGGACGAUGACUGACGUUGAGGCUCGAAAGCGUGGGGAGCAAACAGG